Molecule: ribosomal RNA, 427 nt
Filed under: uncultured bacterium
Lineage: Bacteria
Description: bacterial SSU rRNA
Rfam family: Bacterial small subunit ribosomal RNA
Source: RNAcentral
GGGCCCGCACAAGCGGUGGAGCAUGUGGUUUAAUUCGAUGCAACGCGAAGAACCUUACCUGGUCUUGACAUACACAGAAUCUUGUAGAGAUACGAGAGUGCCUUCGGGAAUUGUGAUACAGGUGCUGCAUGGCUGUCGUCAGCUCGUGUCGUGAGAUGUUGGGUUAAGUCCCGCAACGAGCGCAACCCUUGUCCUUAGUUACCAGCGGGUUAAGCCGGGAACUCUAAGGAUACUGCCAGUGACAAACUGGAGGAAGGCGGGGACGACGUCAAGUCAUCAUGGCCCUUACGACCAGGGCUACACACGUGCUACAAUGGGUAUUACAGAGGGCUGCGAAAGAGCGAUCUGGAGCGAAACUCACAAAAGUACCCCAGUCCGGAUUGUAGUCUGCAACUCGACUGCAUGAAGUCGGAAUCGCUAGUAAUCG